UACGUAGGGUGCAAGCGUUGUCCGGAAUUAUUGGGCGUAAAGAGCUCGUAGGCGGCCAACUAAGUCAGACGUGAAAUCCCCAGGCUCAACCUGGGAACUGCGUCUGAUACUGGAUGGCUUGAAUCCGGGAGAGGGAUGCAGAAUUCCAGGUGUAGCGGUGAAAUGCGUAGAUAUCUGGAGGAAUACCGGUGGCGAAGGCGGCAUCCUGGACCGGCAUUGACGCUGAGGAGCGAAAGCUAGGGGAGCAAACGGG
This 253-nucleotide ribosomal RNA is filed under the name uncultured bacterium. RNAcentral describes it as "partial 16S ribosomal RNA". It matches the Rfam family "Bacterial small subunit ribosomal RNA", at positions 524 to 776 of the family's 1533-position model. The record is from RNAcentral.